RNAcentral lists this microRNA precursor (102 nucleotides) under Glycine soja. RNAcentral describes it as "MIR1520 microRNA precursor family". It matches the Rfam family "MIR1520 microRNA precursor family". Lineage: Eukaryota; Viridiplantae; Streptophyta; Magnoliopsida; Fabales; Fabaceae. The record is from Rfam by way of RNAcentral.
UUCUUAUUGAAUGAUGACUAUCACAUGUAUGUUCUGAUCAACCAAUGACAACAACAAUAAUUCGACAUCCAAUUAGAACAUGACACGUGACAGUCAUCAUUC